UACAGAGGUCCCAAGCGUUGUUCGGAUUCAUUGGGCGUAAAGGGUGCGUAGGCGGCGCGGUAAGUCGGGUGUGAAAUCUCGGGGCUUAACUCCGAAACUGCAUUCGAUACUGCCGUGCUUGAGGACUGGAGAGGAGACUGGAAUUUACGGUGUAGCGGUGAAAUGCGUAGAUAUCGUAAGGAAGACCAGUGGCGAAGGCGAGUCUCUGGACAUUUCCUGACGCUGAGGCACGAAAGCCAGGGGAGCAAACGGG
RNAcentral lists this ribosomal RNA (253 nucleotides) under uncultured bacterium. RNAcentral describes it as "partial 16S ribosomal RNA". It matches the Rfam family "Bacterial small subunit ribosomal RNA", at positions 524 to 776 of the family's 1533-position model. The record is from RNAcentral.